UGGGGUUGUAGCUCUGUGGUACAGAGCACUUGCCUAGCAUGUGUGAGACACUGAGUUCAAUUCUCAGCACCACAA
Molecule: transfer RNA, 75 nt
Filed under: Marmota monax (woodchuck)
Lineage: Eukaryota; Metazoa; Chordata; Mammalia; Rodentia; Sciuridae
Description: tRNA.Ala
Rfam family: tRNA
About the family: Transfer RNA (tRNA) molecules are approximately 80 nucleotides in length. Their secondary structure includes four short double-helical elements and three loops (D, anti-codon, and T loops).
Source: RNAcentral